This 936-nucleotide ribosomal RNA is filed under the name Thaxterogaster chalybeus. Its description in RNAcentral is "Cortinarius chalybeus partial large subunit ribosomal RNA". It matches the Rfam family "Eukaryotic large subunit ribosomal RNA", at positions 39 to 962 of the family's 3401-position model. The record is from RNAcentral. Lineage: Eukaryota; Fungi; Basidiomycota; Agaricomycetes; Agaricales; Cortinariaceae.
CAUAUCAAUAAGCGGAGGAAAAGAAACUAACAAGGAUUCCCCUAGUAACUGCGAGUGAAGCGGGAAAAGCUCAAAUUUUAAAUCUGGCAGUCUAUGGCUGUCCGAGUUGUAAUCUAGAGAAGUGUUAUCCGCGCUGGACCGUGUACAAGUCUCCUGGAAUGGAGCGUCAUAGAGGGUGAGAAUCCCGUCUUUGACACGGACUGCCAGGGCUUUGUGAUGCGCUCUCAAAGAGUCGAGUUGUUUGGGAAUGCAGCUCAAAAUGGGUGGUAAAUUCCAUCUAAAGCUAAAUAUUGGCGAGAGACCGAUAGCGAACAAGUACCGUGAGGGAAAGAUGAAAAGAACUUUGGAAAGAGAGUUAAACAGUACGUGAAAUUGCUGAAAGGGAAACGCUUGAAGUCAGUCGCGUUGGCCAGGGAUCAACCUUGCUUUUGCUUGGUGCACUUUCUGGUUGACGGGUCAGCAUCAAUUUUGACCAUUGGAAAAAGGUCAGGGGAAUGUGGCAUCUUCGGAUGUGUUAUAGCCCUUAGCUGCAUACAAUGGUUGGGAUUGAGGAACUCAGCACGCCGCAAGGCCGGGUUUUAACCACGUACGUGCUUAGGAUGCUGGCAUAAUGGCUUUAAUCGACCCGUCUUGAAACACGGACCAAGGAGUCUAACAUACCUGCGAGUGUUUGGGUGGAAAACCCGAGCGCGCAAUGAAAGUGAAAGUUGAGAUCCCUGUCGUGGGGAGCAUCGACGCCCGGACCAGACCUUUUGUGACGGCCCCGCGGUAGAGCAUGUAUGUUGGGACCCGAAAGAUGGUGAACUAUGCCUGAAUAGGGUGAAGCCAGAGGAAACUCUGGUGGAGGCUCGUAGCGAUUCUGACGUGCAAAUCGAUCGUCAAAUUUGGGUAUAGGGGCGAAAGACUAAUCGAACCAUCUAGUAGCUGGUUCCUGCC